This 433-nucleotide ribosomal RNA is filed under the name uncultured bacterium. Its description in RNAcentral is "partial 16S ribosomal RNA". It matches the Rfam family "Bacterial small subunit ribosomal RNA", at positions 29 to 507 of the family's 1533-position model. The record is from RNAcentral.
AACGAACGCUGGCGGCAGGCCUAACACAUGCAAGUCGAGCGAGCAUUUCGGUGCUAGCGGCGGACGGGUGAGUAACGCGUGGGAACGUGCCCUUUUCUGCGGAAUAGUCCUGGGAAACUGGGGGUAAUACCGCAUACGCCCUUUUGGGGAAAGAUUUAUGGGAGAAGGCUCGGCGCGCGUUGGAUUAGGCAGUUGGUGGGGUAAUGGCCCACCAUGCCGACGAUGCAUAGCUGGUGUGAGAGGAUGAUCAGCCACACUGGGACUGAGACACGGCCCAGACUCCUACGGGAGGCAGCAGUGGGGAAUCUUAGACAAUGGGGGCAACCCUGAUCUAGCCAUGCCGCGUGAGUGAUGAAGGCCUUAGGGUUGUAAAGCUCUUUCAGCUGGGAAGAUAAUGACGGUACCAGCAGAAGAAGCCCCGGCUAACUCCGUG